Molecule: long non-coding RNA, 2462 nt
Filed under: Xyrichtys novacula (pearly razorfish)
Lineage: Eukaryota; Metazoa; Chordata; Actinopteri; Labriformes; Labridae
Source: RNAcentral
CCAGAGUUCAUAAAUCCAAGCGCAGAGGGACCCUUGAUUCCUUGAAAUUAUCAGGAGGUUUUUGGGGGGGAUAGAUAGAGGUGGGGAGUGGAGGUUGGUGGGGGGGAGUGAGGGAUUUGGUUGAAGGAGGUAGGAGGAUAGAUAAAGCUUUGCCCCAUUCCUCUUCCUCCUCCUCUACCUCCUCCACCUCCACGUGCCCGCUACAGCAGAUGGUGCCGUGUGGCUCUGCCAUGCCACCGUGGCCGCCUUCUGCGGAUGGUCGCCAUAAGGAGGCAGGUUAGUUGGAGAUUUGGAGUGACAGUGUUUGGCAGGGGCUACAAAGAGAAGAUGUGAGGAGGGGGAGAAGGCGCUUGGUGCCGCGGGCUAACACGGAGGUAAGCUGCUGUUAUGUUGCUGUCUCUGUGAUUUAGUGACCAUGUGGUAGCAGAGGAAGCAGAGGUAGGAAGUUGGAGGCAAAGGUAGCUUCAGGUUCAUGGUGGACACCAAUCAAACUGUUCAAGUUUUAUGAUCAAUACUGGCGGUGGUUAUGUCAUUAAGUAUCACACCUCAAAAAUCCUGAGUUGAGUUUUUUUUUAAGCAGUAACAUAAAAAAUAUUUUAGAGCUGACGAUAUAAACAAACCAGACCAUUACAAUAGAAAUGACCUUUUUUCUUAUAUCAUAAUUCCUGUCAGCGCUGAACUACGAUUUAUCGCUGAGACGAUUUUUCUUUACAUUUUCCUUGAAAUCACAGAGAGUGAUGGUCAGAAGACAAGGUAAGGAAGUUGUGACAAAAUAUCACCAAACUACUUGCACAUGUACAACACAGGACCAAUAAAGAGAUGACAUGAACCAUUUUGUCCACAGGGGUCACACAUUGCGACAAAACACUUAAAGCUUCUGUGAAGAUCUUUCGGUUUGUCAUUUUGGUGCCUCCUGUGGACAAAGUUGUCUUUGCUUAUCUUGUUCUCCACAUGCUUGAUUUGGGUUUUUAACCACAGUAUUAAGAAAUACUAUAUAAAAUUAUCAAUAAUGCCACUGAUGGUCUUUAUGGUUUAAACAUUAUAAAAAGGCAUCAAUAUGAAUCUUAGUCUCUUUCAUAGAUUAAAAAAAAAAACUCCUUAGGGGAGCUUUAAGUUCUUUAUAAUGUUUAGAUAAUGCUUACUAAUAACAGGUAUUGUUCAUCUUGAACUGUUCGAUUGCGACUUAUCUAAUUUUAAAAAGGCAAUAUCUUGAUACUUUUGUUUUAUAAUUAAUGAUACCCUUUUUGUAGUUACCAACGGAUUUAACAGUAUAUUACAAACAUUUUGACAUCUUUCAUUUGAAAUGAGCUUUGAGGCUUUUCAAACCAAAACAAAACAAAAAAACCCUAGAAUUUAUAAUUUUUUAUUUUUUUUAAUAUGUCAGUUUUAUCCUCAGUAUUAUCCUCCUUUUUUCACCAAAAAAAGCACUAAUAGCUGGAAGGAAGCGUAAGGACACCAUAUAGGGGACAGGAAACAACAUGGGAGCCCAGUGAGCACUAACACUAAAUUUCAAUAUCAUAAUUGGGUUGAAAACAAAAAAGAGUCGGGAAGUCUGAAACAUAAUUUCAACAUUUUUUAAAUGAGCCGUACAAUUCAGUUAUGACACCAAAGUUUGAAGGAAACAGGCUUACUUAUUUUCAGGGUGAAAGGAGGAUAAAAAUGAAUACUGUGACUGCCAAUUGAUAUACAUGAAUGAGAGUUUGUGUUCGGAAGAGUUUAUAUAUAAAAGUCUCCAAACAAUUGUAUUAGUGCAGGUUUUCUUGAUGUGACAUUAAAACAGAUCAUGUUGACAUAUGAAUUAUUUUCGCUUAAUUCUCGUUCUACUAACCCGGCCUUGAACACAUCAUCAUAAAAUCGUGUGUCACCUCAGUUAAAUGACUGAUUAGCUUUUAUUUCUCUGACUCUGACAUGUAUUUUUCAACAUUGGAUUUUGAUUUUUCAGCUGCAGGACGUGCUAAAGUCCGGGUGUGCUUACCCCUGCUGUUUCGGGUGGAAGAGAAGGAUGACAGCGCCGCAGCAGCAGCAGCUGGAGUUGAUGGAGUUGUUUCAAGGUUCAGACAGUUAUAGAUGCUGCAUUUUGGCUUGAUUUGAUUUCAAUGCCGCGGAGGUUGUGUUCCCCCUUUGCAUUAAAUGAUUUUAUUUGCCUUAUGACUAUCUAUAACUUUGGUAAAAGUAACUGCCCACCAGAAUUCUUCUUUAUGUAAUUUAGUACCUGUUUGCUCACAAGACUUGAUAGCAGAAUAACCUUUGGACUGGUCUUCAAUAUCUCUUCAGGCCAAAGUUAUUUUCAAUUCACCAAAAAAAUGACAUGUUAACCCUAAAACUCUCAUCACUCUGUCAUCAACAGGUGGUAGAUCACAUUUGAGAUCGCUUGUGAACCCAAACUGAAGGCUUUUCACCUCCUAAAGGCAGCUGUGUGCAUUUGCAAAGCUGUGAAAUAAAGCUCUAAAUAUGAAACAUGU